Molecule: ribosomal RNA, 2211 nt
Filed under: Triticum aestivum (bread wheat)
Lineage: Eukaryota; Viridiplantae; Streptophyta; Magnoliopsida; Poales; Poaceae
Description: partial small subunit ribosomal RNA
Source: RNAcentral
AUGCAGCCGCUCAGCUCAUCAUGCCGUAGCAGCAGCAGCAGAUACACCACCAAAUCAUCCACGCCGUUCGCCGGCCUUGUCGCUGCCGCCCUUCUGCUCUGCUUCGUCUCGCCAACCAGCUCCUGCACGGAGCAGGAGAGGAGCGCCCUCCUCGGCUUCCUGGGCGGGCUCGUGCCGGGCGGCAGCGGCAGUCUCAACGUGUCGUGGUUGAACGGCACGGACUGCUGCCAAUGGGAAGGCGUCCUCUGCAGCGGCGACGGCACGGUCACAGAUGUCUUUGUGGCUUCCAGAGGUCUCAGAGGGCUCGUCUCGCCAUCCCUCGGCGAUCUUGCUGGCCUCAAGCGCCUCAACCUGUCCCAUAAUUCGCUUGAAGGCAGUCUACCGGCAGAAUUGGUGUUCUCCAGAAGCAUUACUGUCCUCGACGUCAGCUUCAACCGCCUCGAUGGUCAUCUGCAAGAGCUGCAAGCCUCAGAUACCAACCUUCCUCUGCAGGUGCUGAAUAUCUCAAGCAAUUUGUUUGGAGGCCAGUUUCCAUCAACAACAUGGGGGGCGAUGAGGAAUCUGGUUGCCCUUAAUGCGAGCAACAACACCUUCACAGGACAAAUACCAUCUUCUCUCUGCACCAACGCCCCCUUAUUUGACAUGCUUGACCUUUGUUUCAACCAAUUCAGUGGCAACAUUCCCCCAGGGCUUGGCAGUUGCUCCAUGCUGAAAGUGCUCAAGGUUGGACACAAUAACCUCAGCGGAGCUCUCCCGCCGGAACUCUUCAAUGCUACCUCACUGGAGCAGCUCUCCUUACCCAACAAUUUCUUGCAAGGAGUUAUUGAUGGCUCCCACAUAGCAAAACUAAGCAAUCUGACUGUCCUUAAUCUUGGAUCGACUGGCCUCAGUGGCAAGAUUCCGUAUUCUGUCGGCCAGUUAACAAGAUUGGAGCAACUCUACUUGGACAACAACAAGAUGUCUGGUGAGCUGCCACCGGCCCUAGGUAACUGCUCAAAUCUCAGAUACAUUACCAUCAGAAACAACAGUUUUACCGGGGAACUUAGCAAAGUCAACUUCACCAUGUUGGAUCUGAGGACAGCUGAUUUUUCAUUGAACAACUUCACUGGUACAAUUCCUGAAAGUAUCUACUCAUGCACCAACCUAGUUGCGUUACGCCUGGCUUUCAAUCAAUUUCAUGGCCAGUUCUCACCAAGCAUUGGAAAUCUCAGGUCCCUCUCCUUCUUCUCAAUUACCGGCAACUCUUUUACAAACAUCACAAAUACACUUCAGAUGCUCAAGAGAUGCAAGGAUCUCACCUCCCUGAUGAUGGGAACCAACUUCAAGGGUGAAACCAUACCACAGGAUGAAACAAUUGAUGGUUUUGAGAACCUUCAGGUACUCACCAUAGAUGAUUGCCCAUUGGUUGGGCAAAUCCCGCUUUGGAUAUCAAAGCUUGAAAAAUUGGAGAUGCUAGACCUGUCAAUGAAUCAGCUCACUGGACCGAUACCAUCCUGGAUUGAUGGGCUGGGCUUCCUGUUCUUUCUAGAUAUAUCAAGCAACAAACUUACAGGGGAUAUACCAGCUGCAUUGACAAAGAUGCCGAUGCUACUAUCAGAGAGAAAUGCUGCCAAGUUGGACACAAGGUUCCUUGAGUUGCCUGCAUUUUGGACACCAUUACGUCAAUACCGGACGGUCGGUGCUUUUCCUAGCAAAUUGUGUCUGGACAACAAUAAUUUCACUGGUGUGAUUCCCCCUGAGAUUGGUCAGCUAAAAAUGCUCGACAUCCUUAAUUUAAGCUCCAACAGCUUAACUGGCGAAAUACCACAAGAAAUCUGCAACCUCACAAACCUGCAAACGCUCGAUUUGUCGGACAACCAGCUCACAGGUGCAAUACCAUCUGCACUGAGUGAUCUGCACUUCCUAUCCAGAUUUGAUGUUUCUAACAACAAGCUAGAAGGGGAAGUUCCAAGUGGAGGACAGUUUGAUUCCUUUUCGAAUUCCAGCUACAGUGGGAAUCCAAAGCUAUGCGGACCUAUGAUCAACAAUGACUGCAACUCAAGACCAUCUUCAGCCUCUGGGAAGCGACGGAACAACUUGCGUCCUGCAUUAGUUAUUGGAAUCACCGCGGGGGGACUCAUUGCUCUCAUUUUGCUUGCAUGCUUCCUUAUUGCAAGGUUAGCAUAUGAUGAUCACACUGAAAAUGUGGUCCCCCUUCGAAGCAGGCGGUGA